This 279-nucleotide long non-coding RNA is filed under the name Rhinopithecus bieti (black snub-nosed monkey). RNAcentral describes it as "lncRNA (ENSRBIG00000046577.1)". The record is from RNAcentral. Lineage: Eukaryota; Metazoa; Chordata; Mammalia; Primates; Cercopithecidae.
AUGGAGAACGGGGAUACUGGAAGCAGAGGAGAGACUGGCAUAAGCAAAGAAGGGCGAUCAAUAGAAGGUUCCCAAAGGAAGGAAGAAUCAGAACUCCUAAUAGCAGCAGCCUGUGAAUGGAAUGGGGCUCUCACUUUUCUCCAGCAUCUCUCUUCCCGACGCUGUUCCCUGCACCCUGUUGUUUAGGGCUCCUGCAGGGCAGAGAGCAACACGGCCUUCAGACCCAGGUGAGCCAGCUCCCUGUCCUGAGCCCUGUGUCUCAGAGGACCUCAAGCUUCA